CCCCUAGUAACUGCGAGUGAAGCGGGAAAAGCUCAAAUUUGAAAUCUGGCGGCCUCGCCGUCCGAGUUGUAUUCUGGAGAAGCGUUUUCCGUGCCGGACCGUGUACAAGUCCCUUGGAACAGGGCGUCGUAGAGGGUGAGAAUCCCGAUCUUUGACACGGACUCCCCGGUGCUAUGUGAUGCGCUCUCGAAGAGUCGAGUUGUUUGGGAAUGCAGCUCAAAACGGGUGGUAAAUUCCAUCUAAAGCUAAAUAUUGGCGAGAGACCCGAUAGCGAACAAGUACCGUGAGGGAAAGAUGAAAAGCACUUUGGAAAGAGAGUAAAACAGUACGUGAAAUUGUUGAAAGGGAAACGCUUGAAGUCAGUCGCGUCUGCCGGAACUCAGCCUUGCUUCUGCUCGGUGCACUUUCCGGUUCGACAGGGCCAGCAUCGGUUUCGGGCGGCGGACACUGGCGUGGGGAAGGUGGCAGCUCCGGCUGUGUUAUAGCCCCGCGUCGCAAACGCCGUCUGGGACCGAGGAAUCCGGCGCAAGCCUGGGAUGCUGGCGUAAUGGCUUUAAACGACCCGUCUUGAAACACGGACCAAGGAGUGCUACACGCUCGCGAGUGUUUGGGUGGAAAACCCGAACGCGCAAUGAAAGUGAAAGUCGAUACCCCUCUCGGGGGCACCGACGCCCGAGCCUGAUGUUUUCGGAAGGCCUUGCGGUAGAGCGAGUGCGUUGCGACCCGAAAGAUGGUGAACUAUUCCUGAGGAGGGCGAAGCCAGAGGAAACUCUGGUGGAGGCUCGUAGCGGUUCUGACGUGCAAAUCGAUCGCAGGACUUGGG
This 823-nucleotide ribosomal RNA is filed under the name Trechispora subsinensis. RNAcentral describes it as "Trechispora sp. SLL-2022m partial large subunit ribosomal RNA". It matches the Rfam family "Eukaryotic large subunit ribosomal RNA", at positions 77 to 915 of the family's 3401-position model. Lineage: Eukaryota; Fungi; Basidiomycota; Agaricomycetes; Trechisporales; Hydnodontaceae. The record is from RNAcentral.